GUGAGCCCAUUUACAUGUGUGU
Molecule: microRNA, 22 nt
Filed under: Drosophila mojavensis
Lineage: Eukaryota; Metazoa; Arthropoda; Insecta; Diptera; Drosophilidae
Description: Dmo-Novel-16_3p (mature (guide))
Source: RNAcentral